GAUGAACGCUGGCGGCGUGCCUAAUACAUGCAAGUCGAGCGAACAGACGAGGAGCUUGCUCCUCUGACGUUAGCGGCGGACGGGUGAGUAACACGUGGAUAACCUACCUAUAAGACUGGGAUAACUUCGGGAAACCGGAGCUAAUACCGGAUAAUAUAUUGAACCGCAUGGUUCAAUAGUGAAAGACGGUUUUGCUGUCACUUAUAGAUGGAUCCGCGCCGCAUUAGCUAGUUGGUAAGGUAACGGCUUACCAAGGCAACGAUGCGUAGCCGACCUGAGAGGGUGAUCGGCCACACUAGAACUGAGACACGGUCCAGACUCCUACGGGAGGCAGCAGUAGGGAAUCUUCCGCAAUGGGCGAAAGCUUGACGGAGCAACGCCGCGUGAGUGAUGAAGGUCUUCGGAUCGUAAAACUCUGUUAUCAGGGAAGAACAAAUGUGUAAGUAACUAUGCACGUCUUGACGGUACCUAAUCAGAAAGCCACGGCUAACUACGUG
Molecule: ribosomal RNA, 497 nt
Filed under: uncultured bacterium
Lineage: Bacteria
Description: partial 16S ribosomal RNA
Rfam family: Bacterial small subunit ribosomal RNA
Source: RNAcentral